GGCCCCAUAGUUCAAGGGAUAGAAUAGUGGUUUCCUAAACCAUAGAUCCAAGUUCGAGUCUUGGUGGGGCUACCA
Molecule: transfer RNA, 75 nt
Filed under: Bacteroidota bacterium
Lineage: Bacteria; Pseudomonadati; Bacteroidota
Description: Bacteroidetes bacterium (hydrothermal vent metagenome) tRNA-Arg
Rfam family: tRNA
About the family: Transfer RNA (tRNA) molecules are approximately 80 nucleotides in length. Their secondary structure includes four short double-helical elements and three loops (D, anti-codon, and T loops).
Source: RNAcentral